UGAGGUGGUGCUUUUUAGCAGGAACCCCUCUCGCUUUGCAAAUAGUUUUUUGUUUGUUUUCCUUUUUGCCCAAUAGAGCCCUGCUCUACUGACCCUUCAAUGUGCCCGUGUGCCUAAAUAUUCCUGGUCGUGUGAAAAGAACCCAGGUAUUAGCUGAACUAAGGAGCACAAUUCUGCAACAUUUUGGCACCCAAACACGGGGCUUGAGAAAUGAAUGCAAUUGGAGAAACUGGUUGUUUUACCAGGCGUUGAUUGGAAAUGUGUGCUUCCCUUUAAGCAGUCAAGCUCAACUUGCAGAGCUGAUGGAAACCCCUUGGGAAAACUGGCCUCAAACGUUUGUCUACACAGUCCACAUACAGGGUUCUUAACCUGCGAUGAGGGAAACUUCCCAGGGCUUGUCUGGGUAUGCCCACAGUGGACUGGAGCCCAACCUGCACACUGGAGGAAGUGGGUGGAGCCACGUGGAUGUCAUGCCUUAUGCAGGGGAGGAGCCUGCUCUCUUCAGCUCCUGUGGUAAUGUGGGAAUUGAUCUGUGAGGAAACACUUUCUGAAAAUGUCAGAACUCUUGAAAACAUGGAUGAGGAAAAGCAUAAGUACUGCUUUAUGCUUGUCUUAUGAAUUUUAAAAGAUGUAAUUUAAAGAUUGAAACUCCCACAACUUUGGCAGACCAACUCCUCAGAAAACAUUAUUCUUUGACAUCAAUAUGUUUUGCACGAAAUUGAAUGACAAGUGAAAGGCAUCAAAUGGAGCUGUCAUUUAAAUGUGCUUGCCAACUAGCUUGUUUAUCAAAACAUUCCAGACCCUUUCAAAUUCUCAUUUACAUUGUUUCUUGUUUACCACACCCAUAAAUUUGUAUUACCAGCAUAUUUAACUAUCGGGCUAUUUUGGAGAUUGAAAAAAGAAGACCUGAUUUAUCAUGUGCAAUAUCUCA
Molecule: long non-coding RNA, 931 nt
Filed under: Pan troglodytes (chimpanzee)
Lineage: Eukaryota; Metazoa; Chordata; Mammalia; Primates; Hominidae
Description: lincRNA
Source: RNAcentral